Molecule: ribosomal RNA, 497 nt
Filed under: uncultured bacterium
Lineage: Bacteria
Description: partial 16S ribosomal RNA
Rfam family: Bacterial small subunit ribosomal RNA
Source: RNAcentral
GAUGAACGCUGGCGGCGUGCCUAAUACAUGCAAGUCGAGCGAACAGACGAGGAGCUUGCUCCUCUGACGUUAGCGGCGGACGGGUGAGUAACACGUGGAUAACCUACCUAUAAGACUGGGAUAACUUCGGGAAACCGGAGCUAAUACCGGAUAAUAUAUUGAACCGCAUGGUUCAAUAGUGAAAGACGGUUUUGCUGUCACUUAUAGAUGGAUCCGCGCCGCAUUAGCUAGUUGGUAAGGUAACGGCUUACCAAGGCAACGAUGCGUAGCCGACCUGAGAGGGUGAUCGGCCACACUGGAACUGAGACACGGUCCAGACUCCUACGGGAGGCAGCAGUAGGGAAGCUUCCGCAAUGGGCGAAAGCCUGACGGAGCAACGCCGCGUGAGUGAUGAAGGUCUUCGGAUCGUAAAACUCUGUUAUUAGGGAAGACCAAAUGUGUAAGUAACUAUGCACGUCUUGACGGUACCUAAUCAGAAAGCCACGGCUAACUACGUG